AUGAACUUUGGGCUCAGCUUNAUUUUCCUUGUCCUUAUUUUAAAAGGUGCUCAGUGUGAGGUGAAGCUGGUGGAGUCUGGUGGAGGCUUGGUGCAGCCUGGAGGGUCCCUGAAACUCUCCUGUGCAGCCUCUGGAUUCACUUUCAAUAGCUAUUCCAUGGAUUGGGUUCGCCAGACUCCGGAGAAGAGGCUGGAGUGGGUCGCAUACAUUAGUAGUGGGGGUAGUACCAUCCACUAUGCAGACUCAGUGAAGGGCCGAUUCACCAUCUCCAGAGACAAUGCCAAGAACACCCUGUUCCUGCAAAUGAGCAGUCUGAAGUCUGAGGACACGGCCAUGUAUUUCUGUGCAAGAGACACACUCUGGCACUUUGCACUUAAUAUAACAAUGUUUCACAAAGGCAUUUUGGGAAUAUAUGGAUGGUGUCACUACAAAAGAAAAUGGGAAUCUAUGGCUGUAACAUG
This is a non-coding RNA of Mus pahari (shrew mouse), 461 nucleotides long. Lineage: Eukaryota; Metazoa; Chordata; Mammalia; Rodentia; Muridae. The record is from the annotation of a RefSeq genome assembly.